UAAUGAGGGGAGGAAAAGAAACUAACAAGGAUUUUCUUAGUAGCGGCGAGCGAAAAGAAAAUAGUUCAGCACUAAGUCACUUUGUCUUUAUGGCAAAUGUGAGAUGCAGUGUAUGGAAUGUCAAAUUUCUAAUAUGAGAAAUUAACGAUUUAAGUCCUUCUUAAAUGAGGCCAUUUACCCAAAGAGGGUGCCAGGCCCGUAUAACGUUAAUGAUUAUUAGAUGGCAUUUCCAAAGAGUCGUGUUGCUUGAUAGUGCAGCACUAAGUGGGUGGUAAACUCCAUCUAAAACUAAAUAUAACCAUGAGACCGAUAGUAAACAAGUACCGUGAGGGAAAGUUGAAUUUAUGUUCAUUAUAUGCACUUGUAUGAUUAACAAUGCGAAAGAUUCAGGAUACCUUCGGGACCCGUCUUGAAACACGGACCAAGGAGUCUAACAUAUUUGCAAGUUAUUGGGAAUAAAAACCUAAUAGCGAAAUUAACAUAACUUUAAUGGGAUUAGUUUUUAGUUCUAUUUAGUCUAUUAAUUCAAUCCCGGGGCGUUCUAUACAGUUAUGUAUAAUAAUAUUUAUAUUAUUUAUACCUCUAACUAGAGCGUACCUUGAGCAUAUAUGCUGUGACCCGAAAGAUGGUGAACUAUACUUGAUCAGGUUGAAGUCAGGGGAAACCCUGAUGGAAGACCGAAACAGUUCUGACGUGCAAAUCGAUUGUCAGAAUUGAGUAUAGGGGCGAAAGACCAAUCGAACCAUCUAGUAGCUGGUUCCCUCCGAAGUUUCCCUCAGGAUAGCUGGUGCAUUUAAAAAUUAUGUAAAAUAAUCUUAUCUGGUAAAGCGAAUGAUUAGAGGCCUUAGGGUCGAAACGAUCUUAACCUAUUCUCAAACUUUAAAUGGGUAAGAACCUCACCUUUCUUGGUAUGAAGGUUGUGGUUGUGAUAUAAUGUGCCCAGUGGGCCACUUUUGGUAAGCAGAACUGGCGCUGUGGGAUGAACCAAACGUAAUGUUACGGUGCCCAAAUUAACAACUCAUGCAGAUACCAUGAAAGGCGUUGGUUGCUUAAAACAGCAGGACGGUGGACAUGGAAGUCGUACUCCGCUAAGGAGUGUGUAGAAGGGUUUCGUGUGAACAGUGGUUGAUCACGAGUUAGUCGGUCCUAAGUUUAAGGCGAAAGCCGAAAAUUUUCAAGUUAUAAUGAAUAAUAAUUAAACACUUGAAUAAUUUUGAACGAAAGGGAAUACGGUUCCAAUUCCGUAACCUGUUGAGUAUCCGUUUGUUAUUAAAUAUGGGCCUUGUGCUCAUCCUGGCAACAGGAACGACCAUAAAGAAGCCGUCGAGAGGUAUCGGAAGAGUUUUCUUUUCUGUUUUAUAGUCGUACUACCAUGGAAGUCUUUCGAAGAGAGAUAUGGUAGAUGGACUAGAAGAGCAUGACAUUUACUGUUGUGUCGAUAUUUUCUCCUCGGACCUUGAAAAUUUAUGGUGGGGUCACGCAAACUUCUCAACAGGCCGUACCUAUUCCGCGGA
RNAcentral lists this ribosomal RNA (1514 nucleotides) under Hemipyrellia fergusoni. Its description in RNAcentral is "eukaryotic LSU rRNA". It matches the Rfam family "Eukaryotic large subunit ribosomal RNA", at positions 44 to 1860 of the family's 3401-position model. Lineage: Eukaryota; Metazoa; Arthropoda; Insecta; Diptera; Calliphoridae. The record is from RNAcentral.